This 497-nucleotide ribosomal RNA is filed under the name uncultured bacterium. RNAcentral's name for it is "partial 16S ribosomal RNA". It matches the Rfam family "Bacterial small subunit ribosomal RNA", at positions 28 to 507 of the family's 1533-position model. The record is from RNAcentral.
GAUGAACGCUGGCGGCGUGCCUAAUACAUGCAAGUCGAGCGAACAGAUAAGGAGCUUGCUCCUUUGACGUUAGCGGCGGACGGGUGAGUAACACGUGGGUAACCUACCUAUAAGACUGGGAUAACUUCGGGAAACCGGAGCUAAUACCGGAUAAUAUUUCGAACCGCAUGGUUCGAUAGUGAAAGAUGGUUUUGCUAUCACUUAUAGAUGGACCCGCGCCGUAUUAGCUAGUUGGUAAGGUAACGGCUUACCAAGGCGACGAUACGUAGCCGACCUGAGAGGGUGAUCGGCCACACUGGAACUGAGACACGGUCCAGACUCCUACGGGAGGCAGCAGAAGGGAAUCUUCCGCAAUGGGCGAAAGCCUGACGGAGCAACGCCGCGUGAGUGAUGAAGGUCUUCGGAUCGUAAAACUCUGUUAUUAGGGAAGAACAUACGUGUAAGUAACUGUGCACGUCUUGACGGUACCUAAUCAGAAAGCCACGGCUAACUACGUG